Molecule: ribosomal RNA, 465 nt
Filed under: uncultured bacterium
Lineage: Bacteria
Description: partial 16S ribosomal RNA
Rfam family: Bacterial small subunit ribosomal RNA
Source: RNAcentral
GAUGAACGCUGGCGGCGUGCUUAACACAUGCAGGUCGAACGGAAAGGCUCCUGCUUGCAGGGGUACUCGAGUGGCGAACGGGUGAGUAACACGUGGGUGAUCUGCCCUGCACUUCGGGAUAAGCCUGGGAAACUGGGUCUAAUACCGGAUAGGACCACAUUUUGGAUGGUGUGGUGGAAAGUUUUUCGGUGUGGGAUGAGCUCGCGGCCUAUCAGCUUGUUGGUGGGGUAAUGGCCUACCAAGGCGUCGACGGGUAGCCGGCCUGAGAGGGUGUACGGCCACAUUGGGACUGAGAUACGGCCCAGACUCCUACGGGAGGCAGCAGUGGGGAAUAUUGCACAAUGGGCGCAAGCCUGAUGCAGCGACGCAGCGUGGAGGAUGACGGCCUUCGGGUUGUAAACUCCUUUCGCUAGGGACGAAGCGCAAGUGACGGUACCUGGAGAAGAAGCACCGGCUAACUACGUG